AUUGAUGAGAGUAUUGAUCCUGUUUAAGCCAAACCUUAGGUUCAAGCAAAAUGGGACUAGAUUAUAAUUAUAUUUUUUAACAUUGUGAUGCUGCUGGCCGCCUUAUACAUUAUACAUGUAAUUCAUGGUAAGUUUAAGCCACAUCCAUUUAAGCAUUUUACAGACCACACAAAGCAGAGUGUAGUUGAGGUUUGAAUGCUAUGAGCUGAGUCAAAAUGAUUUAAAGUAGUUUUAUAUUGCAAGUUUUCAAUACUAAUAAUUUUAGAAUAGAGAAAUAGUAGUAGUAGUAGUAAUAAUUACUCUGAUCAACUAAUGUCAAUAUUGCUAAUGUAUUAAUGACAUGCUUAUAUUAUUUUAGGUACAUCUCAUUUGUGAGGCUGUGGAUAAUGGGCAGUGAAGUGCGAUAUGUUUUUGUUAUGUAAAAAACAAGUAAUGGCAACAAACCAUUCAUUCCUCAAUCCAUCGUCAGCGGCAUCACUCCUUCAACCUACACAGUAACUUGAACAUGAUCGAAGGAAUGUGCAGCUUCAGCCUAUCCUUGGGUAUUUAGCACAUCUUACAAUGUUUUUUUUUCUUUCUUUUUUUCGUUCUAUUUGGUUGUGUUGACAUUCAUCAUUUUGAUUUAUUUGUUGUUCAGGA
RNAcentral lists this long non-coding RNA (639 nucleotides) under Trifolium pratense (red clover). RNAcentral describes it as "long non-coding RNA (TPRA_LNC009852)". The record is from RNAcentral. Lineage: Eukaryota; Viridiplantae; Streptophyta; Magnoliopsida; Fabales; Fabaceae.